This 1622-nucleotide ribosomal RNA is filed under the name uncultured eukaryote. RNAcentral describes it as "SSU rRNA". It matches the Rfam family "Eukaryotic small subunit ribosomal RNA". The record is from RNAcentral.
UGAACUGCGAAUGGCUCAUUAAAACAGUUAUAGUUUAUUUGAUAAUUUGAAAUGGAUAACUUUAGGAAACCUAGAGCUAAUACAUGCAUUAGGACUGGCCCACUUCGGUGGAAAGGUUGUAUUUAUUAGAUAUAAACUCUUCGUCACCCAGUGACGUCUAGAUGAUUCAUAAUAACUUCUCUGACCGCUGUUUACAGCGAUAGGUCAUUCAAGUUCCUGCCCUAUCAGCUUUAGAUGGUAGUGUAUUGGACUACCAUGGCGGUAACGGGUAACGGAGAAUUAGGGUUCGAUUCCGGAGAGGGAGCCUGAGAAACGGCUACCACUUCUACGGAAGGCAGCAGGCGCGUAAAUUACCCAAUCCUGACUCAGGGAGGUAGUGACAAGAAAUAGUGACUUGUGUCCUACAAGGAUUACAAGAUUGCAAUGAGGUCCAAUUUAAAGCACUUAGUGAGGAACAAUUGGAGGGCAAGUCUGGUGCCAGCAGCCGCGGUAAAUUCCAGCUCCAAUAGCGUAUAUUAAAGUUGUUGCAGUUAAAAAGCUCGUAGUUGGACUUGCACUCCUUUUGGAGCAGCCUAGCAACUCCGCAUGUCCUUAACUGGAUGGCGGAGACCUGCGGGCCCUUUACCUUGAGAAAACUAGAGUGUUUAAGGCAGGCUACGCCUGAAUACUGCAGCUGGGAAUAAUGCAUCACGACUGUCUUGGCGAGGCAGCUCUACACUUUUAAUAGGAACGGUUGGGGGCAUUCGUACUCAGCAGUCAGAGGUGAAAUUCUUGGAUUUGCUGAAGACGGACUAGUGCGAAAGCAUUUGCCAAGGAUGUUUUCAUUAAUCAAGAACGAAAGUUAAGGGAUCAAAGACGAUCAGAUACCGUCCUAGUCUUAACCAUAAACGAUGCCGACUAGGGAUUGGCCAGAACGUACAAAUCUGGUCAGCACCUUACGAGAAAUCAAAGUCUUUGGGUUCUGGGGGGAGUAUGGUCGCAAGACUGAAACUUAAAGGAAUUGACGGAAGGGCACCACAAGGAGUGGAGCCUGCGGCUUAAUUUGACUCAACACGGGGAAACUUACCAGGUCCAGACAUAGUCAGGAUUGACAGAUUGAAAGCUCUUUCUUGAUCCUAUGGGUGGUGGUGCAUGGCCGUUCUUAGUUGGUGGAGUGAUCUGUCUGGUUAAUUCCGAUAACGAACGAGACCUCAACCUGCUAAAUAGUCGUCCUCUAUAUGUAGGGGUAUAGACUUCUUAGAGGGACUUUGCGUUCUAAGCGUAAGGAAGUUUGAGGCAAUAACAGGUCUGUGAUGCCCUUAGACGUUCUGGGCCGCACGCGUGCUACACUGACACAUUCAACAAGUUCUCCAGGUUCGGAAGAAUCCAGGUAAUCUUUUUAAUAUGUGUCGUGCUAGGGAUUGAUCUUUGUAAUUUUGGAUCAUGAACGAGGAAUUCCUUGUAAGCAUAUGUCAUCAGCGUGUGCUGAAUACGUCCCUGCCCUUUGUACACACCGCCCGUCGCUUCUACCGAUCAAGUGGUCCGGUGAACCUUUUGGACAGCGUAGUCCCGUUGGACUAUUGUUGAAAUUUAAGUAAAUCUUUCACUUAGAGGAAGAAGAAGUCGUAACAAGGGAAUCAUUG